Scomber scombrus (Atlantic mackerel) is the source of this 2334-nucleotide RNA transcript. It is a transcript of the gene named tyrosylprotein sulfotransferase 1, with no coding region annotated. Lineage: Eukaryota; Metazoa; Chordata; Actinopteri; Scombriformes; Scombridae. The record is from RefSeq and is a predicted model, not a curated record. The transcript is spliced from 6 exons.
CAGUUGUAGCAGUCUGGCUGAUAUCACCUCCAGUCUAGCAGCACAGCAAGCAACAAGCUUGAACGCCGUGGGACCAACACGGUGUAUGUACGCAGAAAAUGCCCGGAAAGUGACUCGAGAGGUCGGCAGGACUGCCUGGACACCGGCGCUGUUUUCUGUGGAGGUUUUCUCACCGUCAAACCAGAGUCUCCUGCGCCGUCUCCGCAGCAUUAGGCCUCAUGGAGCUGGGGACUAGACGCCUGCUGUGUACCAGGGAGCUUGAUCCAUGCCUGGUUCCCAACAAGCAACCUUGAAGGGUGGGAACCUUAAUUACCCUUCAGUUCCUUUUUCCCAUCCCUCCCCCUAAAUUGCCCCUUGUAUCAUCUACCUGUGGCCUGCAACAUGAUAGGCAAGCUGAAACAGAACUUGCUCGUGGCCUGUCUGGUCAUCAGCUCGGUCACGGUCUUCUACCUGGGCCGCCACGCCAUGGAGUGCCACCACCGCAUCGAGGAGCGCAGCCAACCAGGCGGUAUCCUGCCUCUGUCAGCACUGGGAGGCAGCAUGCGGACCACUUUACGGACAGGCCAGAAUCUCAGCACGCCUUUUGUUUACAAUAAAGACAUGCCGCUCAUCUUUAUUGGUGGCGUGCCCCGCAGCGGGACCACACUAAUGCGAGCUAUGCUCGACGCACACCCGGAGGUGCGCUGCGGCGAAGAAACCCGUGUAAUACCGCGGAUCCUGGCCAUGAAGCAGAUGUGGAGCCGCUCAGGCAGAGAGAAGAUGCGUCUGGACGAGGCCGGCGUGACGGAUGAGGUGCUGGACGCCGCCAUGCAGGCCUUUCUGCUGGAAAUCAUCGUCAAACACGGCGAGCCAGCCAACUUCCUCUGCAACAAGGACCCUUUUGCGCUGAAGUCGCUCUCAUACCUGGCCAAGAUCUUUCCUCGUGCCAAGUUUAUAUUAAUGAUUCGUGAUGGACGAGCUUCAGUCCACUCUAUGAUCUCACGGAAAGUGACCAUUGCCGGCUUUGACCUUGGCAGCUACCGGGACUGCCUGACCAAGUGGAAUCGGGCCAUAGAGACCAUGUAUACUCAGUGCCUGGAGGCGGCUGAUAAGUGCCUGCCUGUGCACUACGAACAGUUGGUCCUCCAUCCUGAGAAAUGGAUGCGGACACUGCUGAAAUUCCUCGACAUUCCUUGGAAUGAUGCCGUCCUCCACCACGAGGAGCUCAUUGGGAAAGCUGGAGGGGUGUCCCUCUCUAAGGUGGAGAGGUCUACAGAUCAGGUCAUCAAACCUGUCAAUGUGGAGGCCUUGUCCAAGUGGGUGGGGAAGAUUCCAGCGGACGUGGUGAGGGACAUGGCUGUCGUGGCCCCCAUGUUGUCCAGACUGGGCUACGACCCCCAUGCCAAUCCCCCCAACUAUGGCCGGCCUGACCCCAAGGUCCUGGACAACACCAGACGGGUCUUUAAAGGUGAAUUUCAGCUACCAGAUUUCCUAAAAGAACAAUCACAGAUCCAGAAGUCUGCAGAGAAACCCCACCCCAGUUAGGAGGAGCAGGAGUGACAUCACUACCACACACAGGUACAAACUCACACAUGAACAGCAUGCAGGGAACGUAAUACUGUAACUGCAGCCAACAGCUUAAUGGUAGACAGAGUCGAGAGGUUUAAGAACAGUUGGAGCAGCAUUUCUAUAAUCCAAAAACUGCCUCAACAAUCCUCUCAGUACAGAUCAGAGAGAAGUGUUUUGUUUCUAUCAUUUAUGAGCGAUAAUGAAACGAAACACAAAACAAGACACAGUCCCAGUCAAAUACAAUAAAGUUAUAAAGUACAGUCCUGAGUUUUGAAUCACGCGUUCUGUCCAAUUUCAUGUUCAUGACCAGCACAUUUAUUAUCUCUGAUGUCAUCGUUCUGAAUCCCUGCAGUGAUAUUAUGUUCAGCGGCAUCUAUAACAACACUGCAGCCAGUUAUUAGUUAUCAGCUCUAAAUGACUUUAUAUACUGUUACCCUCAAAAACCACAAGAUUACAGACAAACACAUGCUGUAUUUUGAAGAUGCAGAUAUGAGUGUUCAUCAAAUAUUGUAUUUAUUUACUGACAUUCAUUUUUAAUAUGAACAGAUAAGAAACUUUUUUGAGGAGGAUCCCUAAAAUGAGUUAAAUACAGAAUUGUGAGUUAUGUGCAGAUGGGACAUUUCUUAUUGGUGGACAAACCGUGUGAUGGUGAUUCUAGCUGAAUGUUCAAACUUAAUUAAAGAAUAUGGUCUAAAAGUGGUAAGUAGUUUGAGAUAACUUUGGCUGGGAUUUGGUGAUGAUUAAAAAUUUAAUUGAACUUGAUAGUGGAAGCCAGAUUUUAAAAUG